RNAcentral lists this ribosomal RNA (380 nucleotides) under uncultured bacterium. RNAcentral describes it as "bacterial SSU rRNA". It matches the Rfam family "Bacterial small subunit ribosomal RNA", at positions 790 to 1167 of the family's 1533-position model. The record is from RNAcentral.
GUAGUCCAUGCCGUAAACGAUGAACACUAGGUUUUGGGCUCGUCAACGGUCCAGAGCCGCAGCUAACGCGUUAAGUGUUCCGCCUGGGGAAUACGGUCGCAAGACUGAAACUCAAAGGAAUUGACGGGGGCCCGCACAAGCGGUGGAGCAUGUGGUUUAAUUCGACGCAACGCGCAGAACCUUACCAGGACUUGACAUGGAAGUGACCGGACGAGAGAUCGUUCUUCUCCCGCAAGGGAGCACUUCACACAGGUGCUGCAUGGCUGUCGUCAGCUCGUGUCGUGAGAUGUUGGGUUAAGUCCCGCAACGAGCGCAACCCUCGUUUCUAGUUGCCAUCAUUCAGUUGGGCACUCUAGAGAGACUGCCGCGAAUAACGCGGA